Long non-coding RNA from Cyprinus carpio carpio, 406 nucleotides. NCBI's taxonomy places the organism in Eukaryota, Metazoa, Chordata, Actinopteri, Cypriniformes, Cyprinidae. The record is from Ensembl.
GUUUUAAGGGAUACGGCAAUUAACGGGUUAAUCCGAAGCAUCAAGACUUUGAAAUCACAUACACAGAACAAUAUUCAUUAAGAAAGUGAAAUUAAAUGAUUAAUAAACUAUUUAUUCGAACCCUUGCUAUUUUCUAUUCUAAUAAAAGUCUUGGCUGUGGAACAUCUGUAAUAGAGUUGGCUAGCUGGAUGCAAAUAAAGUCAUGCCUUUUAUUUUUUCCCCUGUUUGCUAUUUCACAUUCCUGUCACUGAAGCGUUGUGGCCAAAGACACAGAAGGUAACUGAAACAAUAUGGUUUAAGUCAAGGUGAUCAUAAGGGGUCCAAGCACAAUGGUUUGUGUAGAUGAUGCAGUUAAACAAUGGACGUGUCUCUUUUCAAGUAAAUUAUUAUACGCACAACAUGAAAA